Long non-coding RNA from Anolis carolinensis (green anole), 2471 nucleotides. RefSeq lists it as uncharacterized. Lineage: Eukaryota; Metazoa; Chordata; Lepidosauria; Squamata; Anolidae. The record is from RefSeq and is a predicted model, not a curated record. The transcript has 2 exons.
UAAAGUAUAAUAAAUAAUAUGAAUAAAUUAAAAUGUAGUGCUACCAAUAAGUAAUUAGGAAUGUGUUGUCGAAGGCUUUCAUGGCCGGGAUCACAGGGUUGUAUAUCUUUUGGGCUAUCUGGCCAUGUUCAAGAAGUAUUCUCUCCUGACGUUUUGCCCACAUCUAUGGCAGGCAUCCUCAGAGGUUGUGAGGGCGAUUCGAUCAAAGAGGGCAAAGGUCUCCUUCACGGGAGGAAAACUACAACUUCUGGUCCGGGAAGAAUCCAAGCAUGUUCAAGGCUGAGUUGCGAAAAGGAACAACAAUGCCAGUCAUCUGUAUUCGUUUAUGCUUUGCACUUAUGACUUCUUCUCAGCGUUUUCUCACAAAUUUGCAGGAUCCGCAAAUUCCUGUCGGUCACAUCAGCUCAUUUUAGAUCUGCCGCAUAGCCUUCACCUGCAACUUCCAUAUUCACGUAACCAUCGCCACUUUGUUGCACAUGUCCACACCAUCUCAGAUGAGAUUCCUUCAUCUUCUCGGCAAUCGGAUUAACUCCGAAGACUGUAUCGAUUGGAAUCCUGUCCUUCAGGAUAACACUCAUUGACCACCUGAGCAUCCGCAUUUCCAUAGUGUGCAGAGUUUGCUCGACAGCCUUAGUGGUUGGCGUAUAGGGUGACCGGCCUCACCACCAUCCUAUAGAUUUUCUAUUUUAGGCAGAUUGGGAUUUUCUUAUCACUCAUCACUUCCUACUACAUCCAUGCAGCAUUUGUGAGCCCGUGAGUAUCCAACAGUACCUUGUUGUUGGAGAUAAUCUUUGAGCCAAGGUAUUUAAAGCUGGUCACUUUGUUGAGGUCAGUACCAUUGAUAUUGAUGGAUCAUCUGAUGGAGCCCUCCUCUACCAAGGAUCAUCUGAUGGAGUCCUCUUCUACCAUGGAUCACCUGAUGGAGCCCUCCUUUACCAAGGAUCAUCUGAUGGAGUCCUCCUCUACCAAGGAUCAUCUGAUGGAGUCCUCCUCUCCCAUGGAUCACCUGAUGGAGCCCUCCUCUACCAAGGAUCAUCUGAUGGAGUCCUCCUCUACCAAGGAUCAUCUGAUGGAGCCCUUCUUUACCAAGGAUCAUCUGAUUGAGCCCUUCUUUACCAUGGAUUAUCUGACGGAGCCCUCCUCUACCAAGGAUCAUCUGAUGGAGCCCUUCUUUACCAUGGAUCACCUGAUGGAGCUCUCCUCUACCAUGGAUCACUUGAUGGAGCCCUCCUCUACCAUGGAUCACUAGAUGGAGCCCUCAUCUACCAAGGAUCAUCUGAUGGAGCCUUCCUCUACCAUGGAUCAUUUAAAGGCAGAACAAACUCUGAGGAACGUAGAGGCCUUUUCUGCUCUGGCAUUGGAAAGCAAGUAAGGAAGCAGUAUGACAGUUUAUUUGCCCCAAACCAAAAUAGAAUCCUAUAUUUUAAAACAAGUCUUCUUUUCCAUCAUGUUUUGAGGGUUUGGUUUGGUUUUAAGGUGAAUAUAUACACAACUUUGACAGUUCUUCAGAAGGAGCCAAGACCGGAGCUGUAUAACAUUUCACUGCUCCUAAUUCAUGAGAUGUUUUGAUUGCUCCAGAAGUCUGUUUGCAAAAACGUUUUAUACGUACAACAUGCCUCAGGGGAAAAGACCUGAUAUGGAAAGUCCCUUUCCCUGUUUGUUGCUUGGUUUUAGGACGUCUUGUGCGUCAGCAGUCGGACUUAUCUGGCAUUCCUCUGGCCUCCUAUCAUGUGUACAGAUGGCGGCUUGUUCAGGAAACCUGCACACCUUUGCUACCUGAAGUUGUGGAAUGCAGGCUACUCUCUCCUUUGUCUACCUGUUACAUGAAAACGGCCUUUUCCCAGAAAGUAGCACGAGUUGAAAAAACAAAACUGAAAACUUUUUACCAGAACACGAGUGGCCAAGGGUUCUCAAGACGGCAAAAGUGAUUUAUGAGUUGGGAGGCACAAACUGGGAUGUUUGCUUUUGUUUGGUUUGCAAGAACUGAAGUUGGGAGUAGGAACCUGGGAUGUUUCAAAAGCAGUCGAUAACAUGGGAUAAUAGUGAAUUCAGACAAAUCAGGAUUGUUAGAAGUAUGAGGAAAAUGGACAAAAUCCUGUACUUUGGAUCACAUAGAGAAGGGUGACUGUGCCUAUGGUGUUUAUUUUGCUGUCUAUGCCCCUCUUCAGAAGAGUUCGCCUCACUUUCUGUUCCUGCAAUAAUUAGAUUUUGAACAACAUGGCUUGUUGUGAAAACAAGGAUUGAUAAAGUUUCAUCAGAACUUUAUCAUGAGAACUAUUUCAUGAGUGAAUUUGCCUUCUGAAGGGUAGAUUUCUCUCACUACCUGUUAUCUCACACCCGUUCUUAACUGUGAUUUGUUUGUAAGUCUAUAGAAAUGAAGUUUUGUUACAUUGAGCCUCGUCUGAGGUGGUAUAAUAUGCGGGGGGAUUUUUUGAUAACAAUAUAUUGGCUGUAGUCCUUUGACGCAGAAA